UUCGACCAAGGUUCGAUUCGAGCGCAGCGAGAAAGCGUUGCCGCAGGCAACGACCCGAAGGGCGAAGCGCGCAGCGCUGAGUCAUCCUUCCCCCACCACCA
Molecule: small RNA, 101 nt
Filed under: Salmonella enterica subsp. enterica serovar Heidelberg
Lineage: Bacteria; Pseudomonadati; Pseudomonadota; Gammaproteobacteria; Enterobacterales; Enterobacteriaceae
Also listed under: 10 other names
Description: partial RtT sRNA
Rfam family: RtT RNA
About the family: This family represents a bacterial cis-regulatory element known as RtT RNA.
Source: RNAcentral